Molecule: ribosomal RNA, 848 nt
Filed under: Alternaria brevirostra
Lineage: Eukaryota; Fungi; Ascomycota; Dothideomycetes; Pleosporales; Pleosporaceae
Description: Alternaria sp. JL-2021d partial large subunit ribosomal RNA
Rfam family: Eukaryotic large subunit ribosomal RNA
Source: RNAcentral
ACAGGGAUUGCCCUAGUAACGGCGAGUGAAGCGGCAACAGCUCAAAUUUGAAAUCUGGCUCUUUUAGAGUCCGAGUUGUAAUUUGCAGAGGGCGCUUUGGCUUUGGCAGCGGUCCAAGUUCCUUGGAACAGGACGUCACAGAGGGUGAGAAUCCCGUACGUGGUCGCUGGCUAUUGCCGUGUAAAGCCCCUUCGACGAGUCGAGUUGUUUGGGAAUGCAGCUCUAAAUGGGAGGUACAUUUCUUCUAAAGCUAAAUAUUGGCCAGAGACCGAUAGCGCACAAGUAGAGUGAUCGAAAGAUGAAAAGCACUUUGGAAAGAGAGUCAAACAGCACGUGAAAUUGUUGAAAGGGAAGCGCUUGCAGCCAGACUUGCUUGCAGUUGCUCAUCCGGGCUUUUUGCCCGGUGCACUCUUCUGUAGGCAGGCCAGCAUCAGUUUGGGCGGUAGGAUAAAGGUCUCUGUCACGUACCUCCUUUCGGGGAGGCCUUAUAGGGGAGGCGACAUACUACCAGCCUGGACUGAGGUCCGCGCAUCUGCUAGGAUGCUGGCGUAAUGGCUGUAAGCGGCCCGUCUUGAAACACGGACCAAGGAGUCUAACAUCUAUGCGAGUGUUUGGGUGUCAAGCCCGAGCGCGUAAUGAAAGUGAACGGAGGUGGGAACCCGCAAGGGUGCACCAUCGACCGAUCCUGAUGUCUUCGGAAGGAUUUGAGUAAGAGCAUGGCUGUUGGGACCCGAAAGAUGGUGAACUAUGCUUGAAUAGGGUGAAGCCAGAGGAAACUCUGGUGGAGGCUCGCAGCGGUUCUGACGUGCAAAUCGAUCGUCAAAUUUGGGCAUAGGGGCGAAAGACUA